CGCACGGGUGAGUAACACGUGAGUGACCUGCCUUUUAGACUGGAACAACUUACCGAAAGGUGAGCUAAUGCCGGAUGAGUUAUAUAAGUGCAUGUUUAUAUAGGAAAAGUUGGGGAGACCUGACGCUGAAAGAUGGACUCGCGUCCCAUUAGCUAGUUGGUAGGGUAAUGGCCUACUAAGGCGACGAUGGGUAGCCGGCCUGAGAGGGUGGCCGGCCACACUGGGACUGAGACACGGCCCAGACUCCUACGGGAGGCAGCAG
RNAcentral lists this ribosomal RNA (262 nucleotides) under uncultured bacterium. RNAcentral's name for it is "partial 16S ribosomal RNA". It matches the Rfam family "Bacterial small subunit ribosomal RNA", at positions 99 to 354 of the family's 1533-position model. The record is from RNAcentral.